UACGAAGGGGGCUAGCGUUGUUCGGAAUCACUGGGCGUAAAGCGCACGCAGGCGGAUCGAUAAGUUGGGUGUGAAAGCCCGGGGCUCAACCUUGGACUUGCCUUCGAGACUACCAGUCUCGAGUGCGGGAGAGGUGAGUGGAAUUCCUGGUGUAGGGGUGAAAUUCGUAGAUAUCAGGAAGAACACCAGUGGCGAAGGCGGCUCACUGGCCUGGUACUGACGCUCAGGUGCGAAAGUGUGGGGAGCAAACAGG
Molecule: ribosomal RNA, 253 nt
Filed under: uncultured bacterium
Lineage: Bacteria
Description: partial 16S ribosomal RNA
Rfam family: Bacterial small subunit ribosomal RNA
Source: RNAcentral